Long non-coding RNA from Neltuma alba, 230 nucleotides. RefSeq lists it as uncharacterized. Lineage: Eukaryota; Viridiplantae; Streptophyta; Magnoliopsida; Fabales; Fabaceae. The transcript has 3 exons. The record is from RefSeq and is a predicted model, not a curated record.
UGUGCUCAAGAUUGGCUUAGACGCUCAAUUCAACAUGUUGUAGAAGAAGGGAAUGAUGAUAUCCAAAAGAUAGAACUUGAUUUGCAAAAAAUUGCAUUGGAGGCAACCGUUGAUAUACUAUAGUUGCUGGUGACUUGAUGGCAAGUUGUAUGCAAGGAACUUUGGGACAAGUGAUGGCUGGAAUUUCAGGCUGCCUUUUGGAGUUUCAUUUUGGAUUACUCGUUUGAUUU